AAGAGAAAUACCAAAAACCGAAUUGCCAUGUACCUAAAGUAAUGCUUGAGAAGAAAUUUAUACGUGUAUAAAGCCAGUUGGUCAAAACUGAGAAAAGUCAAUAGUAGUACAAGUUUUUACGCGUUACCUAUAAAACGACGACGGCUACACGCGUCUUCCUCUUCUGCAAUUCCAUUUUCUCUCUCUCACACCUAAACUAAUUUCCUAAAUUGGACGUAAGCAUCUUCCCUUCUCUUCGCUCCUUUCUGAUAAAAGAGGAAGGAUUUCCGGUUGCACCAUAGGCCACAGACAGCUCACACGUCGGCUGCUUAGUGAUGUUAAAGUUCCUCAAAUGGAUAGGCUUUUGAAUUGCACGUUGAAACGUGGGAGGCCAAGGAAAUAGAUCAGAAGGAGUCCUCAACUGUGGUCAAUUUCGAUGUCACUUCUCACUCAGGUUAGGUAUAUGAAGUGAGUCUUGGUAGGCCUUUUGAGCUUCAUCUUCGUUCUGAAAAGAACAAAAGUAGACAUUGAAAUGGUAGGAAUUAAGUCAACUAGUUUAUACUGUCAUCUUUUGAGCUUCUUCAACUAGAUUUAGAUUCCACGUCUCAAUAGUUAUACAGAGAUUAAGCUUAUUGUCUAGUUAUAAAAAGAUUUAAGCCUCCAAUGUCGAUAGAGUUCAAGAAUCCUUAAUGUUAACUGCAAGCUACUUUAAAUAUUACAAGAAUAUAUAACAAGUAUUAUGGGGAUGUGAAGCAGGGAUCCAGCUGGGCAUUUUAACUACAGAGAUUGGGUAUGCAUGCACCUCCUCCUGGGUUUGUUGUUCUUUCCGUAUCCAUCUCCAUACUCGUAGCUUCGACUCUUUCCUGUCCCACCGAAGUUACGUUGCAUGAUGAGGCUAUCAUGAUUCAUGGCAACCUCUUACACUGCUCGGGGUGCCUUCCCAAAUGAGUUUCUUGUCAUUCCCCCCUAACUUCUAGGCUAUAUAACUGUAAAAUUAACCGAAUUAAUCGAAAUAUUUCGAUACGGUUAAUGUAUUUGAAAAAAAUUGAUUCAGUUAACAGUUAAAGAUUUUAAUAUAUUGGGUAAUUCGGUUGGAAUAUUAACCAAA
Gossypium raimondii (Peruvian cotton) is the source of this 1087-nucleotide long non-coding RNA. RefSeq lists it as uncharacterized. Lineage: Eukaryota; Viridiplantae; Streptophyta; Magnoliopsida; Malvales; Malvaceae. The transcript has 2 exons. The record is from RefSeq and is a predicted model, not a curated record.